RNAcentral lists this ribosomal RNA (751 nucleotides) under Scombrops boops. RNAcentral describes it as "partial 16S rRNA". It matches the Rfam family "Bacterial large subunit ribosomal RNA", at positions 1817 to 2836 of the family's 2925-position model. Lineage: Eukaryota; Metazoa; Chordata; Actinopteri; Scombriformes; Scombropidae. The record is from RNAcentral.
CGCCUCUUGCAAAACUAAAGAAUAAGAGGUCCCGCCUGCCCUGUGACUAUAAGUUUAACGGCCGCGGUAUUUUGACCGUGCGAAGGUAGCGCAAUCACUUGUCUUUUAAAUGAAGACCUGUAUGAAUGGCACCACGAGGGCUUAGCUGUCUCCUUUUUCAAGUCAAUGAAAUUGAUCUCCCCGUGCAGAAGCGGGGAUAUAUACAUAAGACGAGAAGACCCUAUGGAGCUUUAGACGCCAAGACAGAUCAUGUUAAACACCCCUGGAUAAAGGGUUAAACCAAAUGAGCCCUGUCCUAAUGUCUUUGGUUGGGCGACCGCGGGGAAACAUAAAACCCCCACGUGGAAUGGGAGUACCACCUCCUACAGCUAAGAGCUCCCGCUCUAGCAAACAGAAAUUCUGACCAAUAAGAUCCGGCAACGCCGAUCAACGGACCGAGUUACCCUAGGGAUAACAGCGCAAUCCCCUUUUAGAGCCCAUAUCGACAAGGGGGUUUACGACCUCGAUGUUGGAUCAGGACAUCCUAAUGGUGCAGCCGCUAUUAAGGGUUCGUUUGUUCAACGAUUAAAGCCCUACGUGAUCUGAGUUCAGACCGGAGAAAUCCAGGUCAGUUUCUAUCUAUGAUAUGAUCUUUUCUAGUACGAAAGGACCGAAAAGAAGAGGCCUAUACUUAAGGUACGCCUCACCCCCACCUAAUGAAGACAACUAAAAUAGGCAAAAGGGCAUACCCCUGUGCCUGAGAAAAUGGCAU